Molecule: ribosomal RNA, 459 nt
Filed under: uncultured bacterium
Lineage: Bacteria
Description: partial 16S ribosomal RNA
Rfam family: Bacterial small subunit ribosomal RNA
Source: RNAcentral
CCACGGGUGGCAGCAGUGAGGAAUAUUGGUCAAUGGGCGGAAGCCUGAACCAGCCAAGUAGCGUGCAGGAUGACGGCCCUACGGGUUGUAAACUGCUUUUAUACAGGAAUAACGCGCCUUACGUGUAGGGCUUUGCAUGUACCGUAUGAAUAAGGACCGGCUAAUUCCGUGCCAGCAGCCGCGGUAAUACGGAAGGUCCGGGCGUUAUCCGGAUUUAUUGGGUUUAAAGGGAGCGUAGGCCGCAUGUCAAGCGUGCUGUGAAAUGGCCGGGGUCAACCCGGGCCUUGCAGCGCGAACUGGCGUGCUUGAGUCCGCGGAAAGCAGGCGGAAUUCGGCGUGUAGCGGUGAAAUGCUUAGAUAUGACGAAGAACCCCGAUUGCGAAGGCAGCUUGCUGCAGCGGAACUGACGCUGAUGCUCGAAAGCGCGGGUAUCGAACAGGAUUAGAUACCCCUGUAGUC